Molecule: ribosomal RNA, 509 nt
Filed under: uncultured Glomus
Lineage: Eukaryota; Fungi; Glomeromycota; Glomeromycetes; Glomerales; Glomeraceae
Description: SSU rRNA
Rfam family: Eukaryotic small subunit ribosomal RNA
Source: RNAcentral
AGCAGCCGCGGUAAUUCCAGCUCCAAUAGCGUAUAUUAAAGUUGUUGCAGUUAAAAAGCUCGUAGUUGAAUUUCGGGGUCAGCAGGUUGGUCGUGCCACCGGUACGUACUGGUCUCACUGAUUCCUCCUUCCUGAUGAGCUGUAAUGCCAUUAAUUUGGUGUUGCAGGGAAUCUGGACUGUUACUUUGAAAAAUUAGAGUGUUUAAAGCAGGCUAACGCUUGAAUACAUUAGCAUGGAAUAAUGAAAUAGGACGUUCGAUCCUAUUUUGUUGGUUUCUAGGAUUGACGUAAUGAUUAAUAGGGAUAGUUGGGGGCAUUAGUAUUCAAUUGUCAGAGGUGAAAUUCUUGGAUUUAUUGAAGACUAACUACUGCGAAAGCAUUUGCCAAGGAUGUUUUCAUUAAUCAAGAACGAAAGUUAGGGGAUCGAAGACGAUCAGAUACCGUCGUAGUCUUAACCAUAAAACUAUGCCGACUAGGGAUCGGAUGAUGUUAAUUUUAAUGACUCAUUC